UGGGGAAUUUUGGACAAUGGGCGCAAGCCUGAUCCAGCCAUGCCGCGUGUCUGAAGAAGGCCUUCGGGUUGUAAAGGACUUUUGUCAGGGAAGAAAAGGGCGGGGUUAAUACCCCUGUCUGAUGACGGUACCUGAAGAAUAAGCACCGGCUAACUACGUGCCAGCAGCCGCGGUAAUACGUAGGGUGCGAGCGUUAAUCGGAAUUACUGGGCGUAAAGCGGGCGCAGACGGUUACUUAAGCAGGAUGUGAAAUCCCCGGGCUCAACCUGGGAACUGCGUUCUGAACUGGGUGACUAGAGUGUGUCAGAGGGAGGUAGAAUUCCACGUGUAGCAGUGAAAUGCGUAGAGAUGUGGAGGAAUACCGAUGGCGAAGGCAGCCUCCUGGGAUAACACUGACGUUCAUGCCCGAAAGCGUGGGUAGCAAACAGGAUUAGAUACCCUGGUAGUCCACGCCCUAAACGAUGUCGAUUAGCUGUUGGGCAGCUUGACUGCUUAGUAGCGAAGCUAACGCGUGAAAUCGACCGCCUGGGGAGUACGGUCGCAAGAUUA
This 549-nucleotide ribosomal RNA is filed under the name uncultured bacterium. Its description in RNAcentral is "bacterial SSU rRNA". It matches the Rfam family "Bacterial small subunit ribosomal RNA", at positions 355 to 896 of the family's 1533-position model. The record is from RNAcentral.